UAUUUUAUAGGUAUCUCGAACCUGUGAGUCCUGGGAUGUCUGAUAGCUCCCAACAAGCUGUCACUAACAAGUUCCUUAAAUCUUCAGAUUUCAACGCCAGGGAAUUUUGCUAAAGCUUGCAUCCUUGAAUACACAAACUUUUGCAGGAUGAGAAUACCUUCAAGCUUUGAAUGUCAUGUAGCUUUUUCACAGUGGUUGAUGUUUCAACCUUUGUUUUCAAGCACAAUAGAUCCGAUAAUCUUCCAAGGGAAGUGCAACCAUGAAUAUCCAAUAUUACCCCAAAAAAAUCCAGCCCGUCAAGGCCACGUUUCAACAUGAAACCCUCAAGAUUCUGAAGUUCAGCUCUAUUUGCAGUUCCAAUAUCAUGAAGAUCAAGAUAAUUAGAAAAAUUAUAACACAACAGGAGACAAAAACUUGCAUAUUGGAAAGUCAAAAUAGAGCAUCAGUAGAACAAAUCCUUAUUGGCAUAGCAAAAAAAACCCCACCAUUGGAAUGACAAAUAAGCAAAAGAGUAAAUCACGCGGUGACCGGAAAAACACUGAAUCUUUAUAGGAUCAAACUCAACACAUAAAUGGCUGAUUGAGAACUUGAAAUGACAGCGAAACUAUGAAAUCAC
This 616-nucleotide long non-coding RNA is filed under the name Eucalyptus grandis. RNAcentral's name for it is "long non-coding RNA (EGRA_LNC001506)". The record is from RNAcentral. Lineage: Eukaryota; Viridiplantae; Streptophyta; Magnoliopsida; Myrtales; Myrtaceae.